RNAcentral lists this ribosomal RNA (614 nucleotides) under Trechisibus antarcticus. RNAcentral's name for it is "partial 16S ribosomal RNA". The stretch from base 371 to 529 matches the Rfam family "Bacterial large subunit ribosomal RNA", at positions 2473 to 2632 of the family's 2925-position model. The record is from RNAcentral. Lineage: Eukaryota; Metazoa; Arthropoda; Insecta; Coleoptera; Carabidae.
UAUAUAAAGUCUGACCUGCCCACUGAAAAUUUUAAAUGGCUGCAGUAAUUUGACUGUACAAAGGUAGCAUAAUCAUUAGUUUUUUAAUUAAAAGCUUGUAUGAAAGGUUGGACGAAGUAAAAUCUGUCUCUUUUUAAUAUAAUUAGAAUUUAAUUUUUAAGUAAAAAAGCUUAAAUUUUUAUAAAAGACGAGAAGACCCUAUAGAGUUUAAUAAUUUUAAUAAAAUAUUUAAUUAAGAUUUAUUAAUUUUAUUUAAUUAAAAUUAUUUUAUUGGGGUAAUAAAAAGAUUAAAAAAAUUCUUUUUUUUUAAUACAUUAAUUUAUGAAUAUAUGAUCCAUUUAUAGUGAUUAAAAGAUUAAAUUACCUUAGGGAUAACAGCGUAAUUUUUUUAAAGAGUUCUUAUCGAUAAAAAAGUUUGCGACCUCGAUGUUGGAUUAAAGAUUAAUUUAGGUGUAGAAGUUUAAAUUUUUGGUCUGUUCGACCAUUAAAUCUUUACAUGAUCUGAGUUCAAACCGGUGUAAGCCAGGUUGGUUUCUAUCUUUAUUAAUUUUUUAUAUUUUAGUACGAAAGGACCAAAUAUAAAAUAUAUAAAUAUUUUUAUUUUGAAUAUUAUU